RNAcentral lists this ribosomal RNA (113 nucleotides) under Syntrophomonadaceae bacterium. Lineage: Bacteria; Bacillati; Bacillota; Clostridia; Eubacteriales; Syntrophomonadaceae. The record is from RNAcentral.
CCUGGUGACAAUGGCGGAGAGGCCACACCCGUUCCCAUACCGAACACGGCAGUUAAGCUCUCCAGCGCCGAUGGUACUGCGUAUAUACGUGGGAGAGUAGGACGUCGCCAGGA